GACGUAGGGGGCGAGCGUUGUCCGGAUUCAUUGGGCGUAAAGAGCGCGUAGGCGGCCCGGAAAGUGGGGUGUGAAAACCCGAGGCUCAACCUCGGGCGUGCGCUCCAAACUCCCGGGCUUGAGGCAGGUAGGGGAGAUCGGAAUUCCUGGUGUAGCGGUGAAAUGCGCAGAUAUCAGGAGGAACACCGGUGGCGAAGGCGGAUCUCUGGGCCUGUUCUGACGCUGAGGCGCGAAAGCUAGGGGAGCGAACAGG
This 253-nucleotide ribosomal RNA is filed under the name uncultured bacterium. Its description in RNAcentral is "partial 16S ribosomal RNA". It matches the Rfam family "Bacterial small subunit ribosomal RNA", at positions 524 to 776 of the family's 1533-position model. The record is from RNAcentral.